CGAAUGCUUGCAUUCACCGAAAGAAGCUUAGUGGCGAACGGGUGAGUAACACGUAGGCAACCUGCCCAAAGAGGGGGAUAACACUUGGAAACAGGUGCUAAUACCGCAUAACCAUGAACACCGCAUGAUGUUCAUGUAAAAGACGGCUUUUGCUGUCACUUUUGGAUGGGCUGCGGCGUAUUAACUUGUUGGUGGGGUAACGGCCUACCAAGGUGAUGAUACGUAGCCGAACUGAGAGGUUGAUCGGCCACAUUGGGACUGAGACACGGCCCAAACUCCUACGGGAGGCAGCAGUAGGGAAUCUUCCACAAUGGACGAAAGUCUGAUGGAGCAACGCCGCGUGAAUGAAGAAGGCCUUCGGGUCGUAAAAUUCUGUUGUCAGAGAAGAACGUGUGUGAGAGUAACUGUUCACGUAUUGACGGUACCUGACCAGAAAGCCACGGCUAACUACGUGCCAGCAGCCGCGGUAAUACGUAGGUGGCAAGCGUUGUCCGGAUUUAUUGGGCGUAAAGGGAACGCAGGCGGUCUUUUAAGUCUGAUGUGAAAGCCUUCGGCUUAACCGAAGUAGUGCAUUGGAAACUGGAAGACUUGAGUGCAGAAGAGGAGAGUGGAACUCCAUGUGUAGCGGUGAAAUGCGUAGAUAUAUGGAAGAACACCAGUGGCGAAAGCGGCUCUCUGGUCUGUAACUGACGCUGAGGUUCGAAAGCGUGGGUAGCAAACAGGAUUAGAUACCCUGGUAGUCCACGCCGUAAACGAUGAGUGCUAAGUGUUGGAGGGUUUCCGCCCUUCAGUGCUGCAGCUAACGCAUUAAGCACUCCGCCUGGGGAGUACGGUCGCAAGACU
Molecule: ribosomal RNA, 843 nt
Filed under: uncultured bacterium
Lineage: Bacteria
Description: bacterial SSU rRNA
Rfam family: Bacterial small subunit ribosomal RNA
Source: RNAcentral